Molecule: long non-coding RNA, 340 nt
Filed under: Mytilus galloprovincialis (Mediterranean mussel)
Lineage: Eukaryota; Metazoa; Mollusca; Bivalvia; Mytilida; Mytilidae
Source: RNAcentral
UUUUUUAUUUUUAAACUGCUGUAUAGUGUAUAAAAUAAUGAAAAGUUGUAGGAUUGCCAAUGAGACAACUAUCCACCAAAUUUGAGACGAUGUGGAUGUGAACAAUAAUAUACAACUGUGCAGACUUCAACAAUGAGAAAACCCAUACCGUAUUGUCGGCUACAAAAGACCAAGACAUAAACAAUAUAUGAAACAAUUCAAUGUAGAAAAAUUAACGACCUAAUUUAUAACAAAACAAUAUAAGAAUGUUAAAGUGCAGCCCGUAUUGAAAACAUGGAAAUUUGCCAUGAACCCAGACUUGGGGCGCUAAAAUUCCUCUCCAAAUCGUAUUAGAUCAGGC